UGGGGAAUAUUGGACAAUGGGGGCAACCCUGAUCCAGCCAUGCCGCGUGAGUGAUGAAGGCCUUCGGGUUGUAAAGCUCUUUUGGCGGGGACGAUGAUGACGGUACCCGCAGAAUAAGCCCCGGCUAACUUCGUGCCAGCAGCCGCGGUAAGACGAAGGGGGCUAGCGUUGUUCGGAAUUACUGGGCGUAAAGCGAGUGUAGGCGGUUGCCGUAGUCAGGUGUGAAAGCCUUGAGCUCAACUCAAGAAAUGCACUUGAUACUGGGUGACUAGAGGACCGGAGAGGAUAGUGGAAUUCCCAGUGUAGUGGUGAAAUACGUAGAGAUUGGGAAGAACACCAGUGGCGAAGGCGGCUAUCUGGACGGUUACUGACGCUAAGACUCGAAAGCGUGGGGNGCAAACAGGAUUAGAUACCCCUGGUAGUCCACGCCGUAAACGAUGGGUGCUAGACGUUGGCGAGCUUG
This 463-nucleotide ribosomal RNA is filed under the name uncultured bacterium. Its description in RNAcentral is "partial 16S ribosomal RNA". It matches the Rfam family "Bacterial small subunit ribosomal RNA", at positions 355 to 834 of the family's 1533-position model. The record is from RNAcentral.